GCAAAGCAAACAUUAACAACAACGUUUCUCAGAAGCCCCAAAACAGAGGAUCCAAAACUCCCCCUCUCUCUGUUUGGUCUCCACCGAAGACCCAGAAACAGCAUAUCAAAAGUAAAUAACAAAACUUCUCUCUUUAAAAAUCAAAACCCACCAGCAAUUCGUUUCUUUUUUUCGAAAAAAAGAAAAGAGAUCAAACCCUAGUGUCAUGAUCAGAUGCUUUAAGGUCUACAACAAUAAAAGGCAAGGACACCAUGAUCAACACAAGCAACGGCAUGAUCUCAACGUCAUCUACAUCGGCGAACCCGCAAUCACCGGGAUUAAAGACUUAUUUUAAAACCCCAGAAGGACGUUAUAAGCUUCACUAUGAAAAGACACAUCCUUCUGGUCUACUUCACUAUGCCCAUGGCAAAACUGCUACCCAGGUAACCCUAGCUAAUCUCAAGGACAAGCCUGCCCCAUCAACCCCGACAGCCCCACCUUCAAGUUUCAGUGCGAGCAGUGGUGUACGAUCAGCUGCUGCUAGGUUGUUGGGUGGUAGCAAUGGAAGCCGUGCACUUAGCUUUGUUGGAGGGAAUGGUGGGAAUAAAAGUAUUAGUAGUAGUAGUAGUAGGAUUGGAUCAUUGGGGGCUUCGAGCUCAAGUAAUUCAAUGAUUAAUACAAAUUUUGAUGGAAAAGGGACUUACUUGAUCUUCAAUGUAGGGGAUGCCAUCUUCAUAAGUGAUUUAAAUUCUCCAGAUAAGGACCCAAUAAAAUCCAUCCAUUUUAGUAAUUCAAACCCUGUGUGCCAUGCCUUUGACCAAGAUGCUAAGGAUGGACAUGAUUUUCUUGUUGGCUUGAGUUCUGGUGAUGUCUACUCUGUGUCACUGAGACAGCAAUUACAGGAUGUUGGAAAGAAGCUAGUUGGGGCCCAGCAUUAUAACAAAGAUGGUUCAGUUAAUAACAGCCGUUGUAUGAGUAUUGCAUGGGUGCCUGGAGGAGAUGGUGCUUUUGUUGUUGCUCAUGCUGAUGGUAAUUUGUACGUCUAUGAAAAGAGCAAGGAUGGUGCUGGUGAUUCUUCAUUCCCUGUUAUCAAAGAUCAAACUCAAUUCUCUGUUUCGCAUGCCCGGUACAGUAAGAGUAACCCAAUUGCCAGGUGGCAUGUCAGCCAAGGUUCAAUAAAUGGCAUUGCUUUCUCAACCGACGGGACCUAUUUAGCAACUGUUGGAAGAGAUGGUUACUUGCGAGUUUUUGACUAUUUAAAAGAACAACUUAUAUGUGGUGGGAAAAGUUAUUAUGGUGCCCUUCUUUGUUGUGCUUGGAGCAUGGAUGUGAAGUAUAUUUUGACUGGAGGAGAAGAUGAUUUAGUUCAAGUCUGGAGCAUGGAAGAUCGGAAAGUUGUUGCUUGGGGUGAAGGACACAGUUCAUGGGUGAGCGGAGUGGCUUUUGAUUCAUAUUGGUCAUCACCAAAUUCAGAUGGCACAGGGGAGAAUGUUGUGUACCGGUUUGGUUCUGUUGGUCAGGACACACAGUUGCUUCUAUGGGACCUGGAAAUGGAUGAAAUUGUAGUGCCAUUACGCAGGUGCCCUCCUGGUGGAUCUCCUACUUUCAGUACUGGAAGUCAGUCUUCACACUGGGACAGUGUUAUCCCAGUUGGUACUCUGCAACCUGCUCCAAGCAUGCGUGAUGUUCCAAAGCUUUCUCCUGUAUUAGCUCACCGUGUUCACACAGAACCUCUUUCUGGUUUAGUAUUUAGACAGGAAUCUGUUCUUACUGUAUGUAGAGAGGGCCAUAUAAAAAUCUGGAUGAGACCUGGAACCUCAGAAAGCCAGUCAGGCAACUCUGAAACCAUCUUAAGUACCAGUUUGAAGGAGAAGCCAUUAUUGUCAAGCAAGACUGGCAGUUCUGCAUAUAAGCAAUGACCAAAUUGUCAUCAGUUUCCUAGGCAAAAUGGAUCUCAUUUUCGUGAAUUUGAUUUGAAUUUGCUGUUGUGGCUGUUGAUCCUUAUUCUACGGUUGAUUUUCUCAGAGGUAGAGCUGGAUGAAUGUGAUCUGAUUGCAGGGGAAUCCGUCAACUGGGUCCUUUUGUAUAUGGAGAGAUAAAAUGCCAUUUAUGGCUCUAAGAGCUCGGGAGGGAGAAAACCCCCUAUGUAUCCUGAAGCUCUCCCACAGUAACAUGUCAUAAGCUUCAUGUUAUGGCUAGAUGAUAUUUAUUUCUCUUGGAUGUACCUUUGAUUUGGAAGAAAAAUUAUUCUUUUGGUUCGUAUUACCUCUGAGUUUUGACACAAAAGUUAUGUUGAAGAACAUGGAAUUAUGGGAGACUAGUGCUGUAUUUAUAUCGAUAUGGUUUAUUCAGGCUAACAAGCUGAACUAGAGCCAUACCAUGUUAGCAAGAGAUGUUUUGUUGUGAUUGUUUCUCUCA
RNA transcript from Populus trichocarpa (black cottonwood), 2397 nucleotides. RefSeq lists it as uncharacterized. Lineage: Eukaryota; Viridiplantae; Streptophyta; Magnoliopsida; Malpighiales; Salicaceae. The record is from RefSeq and is a predicted model, not a curated record. The transcript has 12 exons.